GACGAACGCUGGCGGCGUGCCUAACACAUGCAAGUUGAGCGACGAACCAGGGCUUGCCCUGGGGCAAAGCAGCGAACGGGUGAGUAACACGUGGGUAACCUACCCCGAUAACUGGGACAACCCGAGGAAACUCGGGCUAAUACCGGAUGUGCUCACUGGACUUCGGUUCAGUGCGUAAAGGAAGCUUCGGCCUCCGUAUCGGGAGGGGCCCGCGGCCCAUUAGUUUGUUGGUGAGGUAACGGCUCACCAAGACCGCGAUGGGUAGCUGGUCUGAGAGGACGAUCAGCCACACUGGGACUGAGACACGGCCCAGACUCCUACGGGAGGCAGCAGUGGGGAAUCUUGCGCAAUGCGCGAAAGCGUGACGCAGCAACGCCGCGUGGGGGAAGAAGGCCUUCGGGUUGUAAACCCCUUUCAGGAGGGACGAAGGUUCGGCGGUGAAUAGCCGUCCGGACUGACGGUACCUCCACAAGAAGCCCCGGCUAACUACGUG
RNAcentral lists this ribosomal RNA (493 nucleotides) under uncultured bacterium. RNAcentral's name for it is "partial 16S ribosomal RNA". It matches the Rfam family "Bacterial small subunit ribosomal RNA", at positions 28 to 507 of the family's 1533-position model. The record is from RNAcentral.